CUGAGGGGACAACUCGGAGCAGCGGGCUGGAGCCGAGCUGGAGUGGAGUGAGGGGUUAUUUUCUGAGAAACCACCUGUUAUGACUUGCGAAGGAAAAAUAAAAGGCAGUACGCAGAGCCAGGGAAGAUGAAGAGGCUGGAGUAAGAAGAGCCUUUAGAAAGCAGAGCUAUAUUUAUGCUACAAAGGACUAAAUAGAGAAAAAUAUUGAACACUUCAAAGAACCAUUGGGAAGUCCAAUUGUGAGGUGCCCAGGGUACCAUACUAAUACAGAACCACCUUGCCCUUCCGUAAGCAACUUCUCACCUACAACAGAGCAGCAGGG
This is a long non-coding RNA of Carcharodon carcharias (great white shark), 322 nucleotides long. RefSeq lists it as uncharacterized. NCBI's taxonomy places the organism in Eukaryota, Metazoa, Chordata, Chondrichthyes, Lamniformes, Lamnidae. The record is from RefSeq and is a predicted model, not a curated record. The transcript is spliced from 4 exons.